CGUAGGGUGCAAGCGUUGUCCGGAAUUAUUGGGCGUAAAGAGCUCGUAGGCGGUCUGUCGCGUCUGCUGUGAAAACUCGGGGCUUAACCCCGGGCCUGCAGUGGGUACGGGCAGACUAGAGUGCGGUAGGGGAGACUGGAAUUCCUGGUGUAGCGGUGAAAUGCGCAGAUAUCAGGAGGAACACCGGUGGCGAAGGCGGGUCUCUGGGCAGUAACUGACGCUGAGGAGCGAAAGCGUGGGGAGCGAACAGG
Molecule: ribosomal RNA, 251 nt
Filed under: uncultured bacterium
Lineage: Bacteria
Description: partial 16S ribosomal RNA
Rfam family: Bacterial small subunit ribosomal RNA
Source: RNAcentral